CCUACGGGGGGCAGCAGUGGGGAAUAUUGCACAAUGGGCGCAAGCCUGAUGCAGCCAUGCCGCGUGUGUGAAGAAGGCCUUCGGGUUGUAAAGCACUUUCAGCGGGGAGGAAGGCGGUGAGGUUAAUAACCUCAUCGAUUGACGUUACCCGCAGAAGAAGCACCGGCUAACUCCGUGCCAGCAGCCGCGGUAAUACGGAGGGUGCAAGCGUUAAUCGGAAUUACUGGGCGUAAAGCGCACGCAGGCGGUCUGUCAAGUCGGAUGUGAAAUCCCCGGGCUCAACCUGGGAACUGCAUUCGAAACUGGCAGGCUAGAGUCUUGUAGAGGGGGGUAGAAUUCCAGGUGUAGCGGUGAAAUGCGUAGAGAUCUGGAGGAAUACGGGUGGCGAAGGCGGCCCCCUGGACAAAGACUGACGCUCAGGUGCGAAAGCGUGGGGAGCAAACAGGAUUAGAUACCCUAGUAGUC
RNAcentral lists this ribosomal RNA (465 nucleotides) under uncultured Klebsiella sp. RNAcentral's name for it is "bacterial SSU rRNA". It matches the Rfam family "Bacterial small subunit ribosomal RNA", at positions 338 to 795 of the family's 1533-position model. Lineage: Bacteria; Pseudomonadati; Pseudomonadota; Gammaproteobacteria; Enterobacterales; Enterobacteriaceae. The record is from RNAcentral.